RNAcentral lists this long non-coding RNA (409 nucleotides) under Erythranthe guttata (spotted monkey flower). Its description in RNAcentral is "long non-coding RNA (EGUT_LNC000553)". Lineage: Eukaryota; Viridiplantae; Streptophyta; Magnoliopsida; Lamiales; Phrymaceae. The record is from RNAcentral.
AGUGAUGCGGUCAACAAUAAGUUAACUCGAAUCACCUCAAAUUAAACCUGCAAUGAAUAUACGAGAAUCGAUACGAUCUUGUGAUGAUCUUCUUCGAUUCGAUGGAUUGGGCGUUUCCUGCGUAAGAAAAAUAUACGUUAGGGUGCCGGAGCUUGGUUCCGGCGAAAACCCUCCGAUGCUUAAGUCAGUCCAGAUUCCAAGAGAAGAAUAUCAGAGAAAAAUAUGAGAAGAAAAUAUUCUAAUGUCUCUCGAAUAGCAAAAUUACCUUUUCUCAAUAAACGUAAAGCAUUUAUAUACGGAAUCUUACUAUGGGCCUGGAAUGUAAUCUUGGGCUUUUAAUUGAUAAUUGGGCCCAAACAUUAUAGUUAUAAUUUUUGGGCCUCAUCAUAUUUUUGGCCCAUGCACAUCA